This 400-nucleotide ribosomal RNA is filed under the name uncultured bacterium. Its description in RNAcentral is "bacterial SSU rRNA". It matches the Rfam family "Bacterial small subunit ribosomal RNA", at positions 355 to 745 of the family's 1533-position model. The record is from RNAcentral.
UGGGGAAUUUUGCACAAUGGGCGCAAGCCUGAUGCAGCAACGCCGCGUGAGUGAAGAAGGCCCUCUGGGUUGUAAAGCUCUUUCGGCUGGGAAGAAGGGUCUACGUGCUAAUAUCACGUAGAUUUGACGGUACCAGAAGAAGAAGCACCGGCUAACUUCGUGCCAGCAGCCGCGGUAAUACGAAGGGUGCAAGCGUUGUUCGGAAUAACUGGGCGUAAAGGGCGCGUAGGCGGGUUGGUAAGUUAGAUGUGAAAUCCCCGGGCUUAACCUGGGAACUGCAUCUAAUACUGCCGAUCUUGAAUGUUCGAGAGGGUGGUGGAAUUCCCGGUGUAGAAGUGAAAUUCGUAGAUAUCGGGAGGAACAUCCGAGGCGAAGGCGGCCACCUGGCGAAACAUUGACG